AUUGAACGCUGGCGGCAUGCCUUACACAUGCAAGUCGAACGGUAACGGGCCUUCGGGUGCCGACGAGUGGCGAACGGGUGAGUAAUGCAUUGGAACGUACCUUUCAGUGGGGGAUAACGUAGCGAAAGUUACGCUAAUACUGCAUAUUCUGUGAGCAGGAAAGCAGGGGAUCGCAAGACCUUGCGCUGAUUGAGCGGCCGAUGUCAGAUUAGCUAGUUGGUGAGGUAAAGGCUCACCAAGGCGACGAUCUGUAGCGGGUCUGAGAGGAUGAUCCGCCACACUGGAACUGAGACACGGUCCAGACUCCUACGGGAGGCAGCAGUGGGGAAUUUGGACAAUGGGGGCAACCCUGGUCCAGCCAUGCCGCGUGAGUGAAGAAGGCCUUCGGUU
RNAcentral lists this ribosomal RNA (390 nucleotides) under uncultured bacterium. RNAcentral's name for it is "bacterial SSU rRNA". It matches the Rfam family "Bacterial small subunit ribosomal RNA", at positions 30 to 423 of the family's 1533-position model. The record is from RNAcentral.